Molecule: long non-coding RNA, 1384 nt
Organism: Xenopus tropicalis (tropical clawed frog)
Lineage: Eukaryota; Metazoa; Chordata; Amphibia; Anura; Pipidae
Exons: 4
Source: RefSeq, a predicted model, not a curated record
AUCAUUUAUCUAUCUAUAUGUUUAUCAUCUAAGAAUGUUUGCCUAUUUUUCCCUAUUUAUAUUAUGUAUCCGAUCUGUUCAUAUAUUAGCCUAUAAUUCCAUAAAACUUACCUUUUGCCACAACUACAUUUUGUAUAUUUAUCAGUCAAUUGUUAAAUAUAUGCAUUAUUCCCUCUAUCUACCUAGUUAUGGUCAUUCCUAUAUAUUCAGUCCUUUGUCUGCCUACCUACCUGCCCGUAUACGCAUACAGUAUGCCAGUUUAAAUAUGUUAGAGGGUUAGAAGUUGCCCCCGCAGGCCCCCCAGGUCCAUGUAUAAUGGACUGUAAGGGAAUGGGCUAAACCCUGUGCUGAGGAGCAAGAUGCAUAUAAACUGGCUAGAGGUGGGGCCCAACAUGCAUUAAAUACAGGGCAUGUUUGCUUGUAUGAAAACCUCCCUGGCUGGCACACACUGAGGGGAUAGGCUGUUGCUUUCUGUCUGCCUUGUUGCUGUGUGUGGGUGCAGCACUGCUGCCGUACCUGCCUAGGGUGACUGAUCUGGGCGCUGUAGGGCAUCGCCGCUUUAAAUUCAGCCCCUGAGGUCAUGUGCAGAGUUCAGCUCGGAUCGGAGCAUUCGUGAGCCGGGGAGCAGCACAAGUGUGUGGAUUUCCAGAAUUAUAGCCCAAGCCUGGGGUGAGUGACUGCCACUAAACCUUGACAUAUUCUGCAAGAGUGGAAAGCUUUCAAACAGACAAUGAUCCUCCUGAACCAGCCGCCCCCUUCAGUUUUAUCUCUAAAGGAAGCUCCUGUCUGAUUCUCAAGACAGUGUCUGGAUGCAAGUUAAAUUGGAUCUCCCUGAGCUUAAUGCUUUCCAGAUUUUACACCUAAAGUCACAAUUCACCAUUGAAGAGAUGCAGGAAGAGAGAUCUUGAGAACAAUGGUGAAUGAAGAAAAACACGGAUUAAGACCUAUUUGUUUCAAAUACAGCAGACUUAUGGGGAGGAACCGAACUAAUUAACCCAUGCUGUGCCAUUAAGGGGGAACAAACUGCAUUCAAAGCACUCAUGGAAGCAGUUGUGGGAGGAAUAUGACCGGAACAGCUGCUCUGAUGUGGUGUCUUCGCAGAAGUUUCAUUUCAGUGCUGCAAUAUGAUGACCAUUCAAAGAUGAAUUAUUUAAAAAGUAAACAAAGGAGGCCAGCUACAGGUUUAAGCCUUUCUUAGUGCUAUUAAAAAGCUAAUGAUGGAAAAUACUUUCUAACAUCAUUCAACUUAAUACAUAACAGGCAGUGUUUGUACACUCAGACCAUGGCUUGAUAAAUUUUACAUGUGAUUUAUUUCCUCUGUUGACUUUGAACCAUGCAUAAGAAUGAAAACACUGUACUAUUAAACGUUUUAAGUGUUGGCUUA